UCCCCUGUGGUGUAGUUGGCUAGCAUUUCCGCCUGUCACGCGGACGACCCGGGUUCAAAUCCCGGCGGGGGAG
Transfer RNA from Acanthamoeba castellanii str. Neff, 73 nucleotides. It matches the Rfam family "tRNA". Rfam says of the family: Transfer RNA (tRNA) molecules are approximately 80 nucleotides in length. Their secondary structure includes four short double-helical elements and three loops (D, anti-codon, and T loops). The record is from Rfam. Lineage: Eukaryota; Discosea; Longamoebia; Acanthamoebidae.